This is a long non-coding RNA of Ostrinia nubilalis (European corn borer), 3442 nucleotides long. RefSeq lists it as uncharacterized. The record is from RefSeq and is a predicted model, not a curated record. The transcript is spliced from 6 exons. Lineage: Eukaryota; Metazoa; Arthropoda; Insecta; Lepidoptera; Crambidae.
CAGAUGGUUAGUCAAAUGUCAUUUCUAGGAGCAUCCACAUAAUCUCAGCAAACAUAGCCUGUAGGAUUGGGCCAAUUAAAAAAAAAAAGAGCAUCCUUUACGUCAACUGUCAUUUUAAUGACAUUGACAGGACAGUAUCCACUCAUUCAUUCGCUGAUUUUGCUCGCUCAUUCAAUCAAUCAUUCAUUCACUCAAUUCUUUUCGAAAUUCCGAGAAAAAAAUCUUGAUUCCGAAAUAUUCGGAAAUAAAAGCAAACAAAUAAUGGUCAUUUUACCGUAUUUACAUUGUUUACCGUAUAAACAAGAUGGUUUCUUAUUAUCACCAAAUGCAUCGUGACUGGUUGCUCGUCCACCAAGUCCAGGGUUUUUUCUCUAGCACGUGAUGAAGCAUUGCAGGCUCUAAGGAUACAGUACCUCCUCCUGCCUGCAAAUCCUUUAUGAGGAACUAUGACAAAGGAGCAACUUCGUCAAAGAAAGGUCUGCCAAUCACAUUUUGAGGAUAAAUAAAUCUAAAACAAUCUAUUGGUUAUGACAAUGAUGAAUGGAUGUCCUAUUUUUAUUUAUCCAUGAAGAAAAUAAUAACAUCUCGGCGACCAUCCAAGCUGUUGCUGAUCAGGUCAUCCAGUAAGUUAAACUGCUAAUAGAGAUAACUUCAAUUCAAUGUUGUUGCCAGAUAAUGCUGUGAGUGAAGAAACUAUAUCCUGCCAUCUACAUCAGAGCCACAUCUGUCAUUAUGGAUAAUAUUAUUGCUGCGUCCUAAGGUUCAGCUUGCAAAUAAACCCAUCAAGCAGAGGCGGUACACACAAACAAAAGGUGGACUCUUUGGUUUUUUAAAACGGAGCCCGAAAGCGUAUGAGCUAUUGCGCCACAUAUUUAUUUUGCCUAGUCAACGAUCAAGAAAAUGAAGGUAUUGAGUGAAAAAACUGCCGCAAUGAUACAGCCCCAAAUUUGAUUCCGGCCCAGUGUAUAGUUUUUUAACUAAAGUUUUUUGUUAUUUUUGCCUCAAGAAUGUACUUAUUGUGAAUUUCUUUGUUAAUGGCUGUAUAGUUUUACUUGAGUCAAAGAAAAUCGUAGUUGUUGUAUAAAAAAAUAAUUUAUAAAUCUAUUAGGGUACAUUUUACUGUCGUCUUUUUUUUCUUAGAAACUUGCAGUAGAUUAUUCACUUUUUUGGAAACUGAUAAUUACUUGUUAAUACCAUAAUUUAUUAUGGAAAAUUGUACUGUUAAGUAGGUAAUUUUUUUUCAUUACCUUAUAGUAGAUAAUGUCUUUUGUUGAUGGCUGUAUAGUUUUACGCAAGUUAAAGAAAAUCGUAGUAUUUUUUUUUCUACACAAAUUUUAGUUAUAAGAUGACAUAUAUGAUUGUUUGUUUGUUUGUAUUGAAGAGGCUCCGAAACUAAGUACUGGACCAAUUUGAAAAAUUAUUUCACAAUUAGAAUCCUUUAUUUUCCCUAAUGAAGAUAGGCUAUAACCGGAUUUUUACAGGCGGUACGAAGUUCGCCGGGUCAGCUAGUUUCUUAUAAACAUGCAAAUACGGUAAAAAUGAUUCAUUUUGUUAAUGGCUGUCUAGUGUUACGCAAUUACAGGUAAUCAUCAUUUUUAUUGUAAACAGAAUUAGGUACCAUUUAUUUAUAACUAGCUUUUGCCCGCGGCUUCACCCGCGUGAAAUUUAGUGCCACAGAUUGGCAUAAAUUAUACCCUAUAUGUUAAUCUAGAUUACAAAUAAUAAUACUGUAAAGGUUCAACCAAAUCCGUUCAGUAGUUUUUGCGUGAAAGAGUAACAAACAUCUACACAACCUUUAUAAUAUAGUAGGAUUUAUAGUCAGCGACAAUAGAAAUGUUCGCUCGCUUGAAAUUUUGUAAACAAUUAUUGCAAAAAGUUAAUAUUAAUUUAUAUUAUUCUGUUCUGUUGGCUUCAAUGGUGGGUACCUAUUUAUUUCAAUAAGUUAAACUCUAGGUAAAAUUGACAUUUAGUAUGGAAAUGUUCGGGAAGCUUCGCCAUAUACUCAUGUCCGAAAUACCGCAGUGUCUCAAGACAAAAGUCUUCGAGCAGUGUGUGUUGCCAGUGUUGAUAUAUGGAUCCGAAACGUGGUCGCUUACUAUGGGCCUCAUAAGAAGGCUCAAGGUCACCCAAAGGGCGAUGGAGCGGGCUAUGCUCGGAGUUUCCCUGCGUGAUCGAAUCAGAAAUGAGGAGAUCCGUAGGAGAACCAAAGUAACCGACAUAGCUCGCAGAAUUGCUAAAAUCAAGUGGCAGUGGGCGGGGCACAUAGCUCGUAGAGACGAUGGCCGUUGGGGCAGGAAAGUUCUCGAGUGGCGACCACGGGCUGGAAAACGUAGCGUGGGCAGGCCUCCUACUAGGUGGACCGACGAUCUGGUAAAGGUCGCGGGAAGAGCCUGGAUGCGGGCAGCGCAGGACCGUUCAUUGUGGAAAACCUUGGGGGAGGCCUUUGUCCAGCUGCAGUGGACGUCAUUUGGCUGAAACGAACGAUGGAAAUGUAAUUUUAAACCAGUGUUCAUCCCUUUCAUAGAGGAGGUUUAAUUCUCUAAGGUUCAUCCCGGGCUUAAUUUUUUUUGUAUAAUGGGUUUUAUGACUGAAAUUGACUCAAACAGAGAUAAAAUAACUAAGAGUCUUUAACAUUUACUUACUUGGCAAUUAAAGAUAGAUUUACUCAAAUCCUACUUCGUACUAUGUAAUAUUAUAAAUGCGAAAGUUUGUAUGGACGUCUGGAAUCUGAAUGUUAACAGGUUUGUUACUUUUUCACGCAAAAACUACUGAACGGAUUUUGAUGAAACUGCAGUAUUAUACUUUAUAACCCAGAAUAUCUUUGAAUGCAGUUCCCUUUCUUUACAAAAAUAAAGGAAUGUUUCCUUUGAGUAAAAUUUUCUAUCUACAGUAUUAAGAGUACUUUCCCUACAGGUGGCAUUACAAAGUUCCACCCUGUAUAAUUUAUGACGAUCUUUGACAAACUAAAUUUCAUGCGUGUGAAGCCGCGGGCAGCAGCUAGUUACUAAAUAUUAUGUCAUAAAUAGUUCAGUCUCAAUGUUAUUGAUGAAAAUAAAGCCCAACUAGACUUUAUUUUCUAUUGGCGCGGUAGGUUUUCUUUUAUUUUUCUUAAAAACCUACAGUUGAUGAUUCUGUGAAUUAAUGACUGUAUAGUUUUACUUACUAAUAGUAUUUCAUAGUUUCCUAAGUUUAUGGUGCUUACUUAUAAUUAUCGAGUUCAGCGGAUGAUUUUUUAUUCCAUUAUUAUUUUGUAAUUUUCCUUACGGAAUAAGAAAUCAUCCGCUUGGUAUAUUAUCUUCGAACGUGUAGAUAAUUCUAAGAUGUACUUCAUGUUCAGACUCAAGUGCUCAAAAGAUAGGACCACCUUUGUAAUUUUGUCGAUAGUUGUAUGCAUUAGUUUUUAAGUUGUAUUUUUAUGAAAUAAAUUUUUUAAUAAAACUUA